RNAcentral lists this ribosomal RNA (468 nucleotides) under uncultured bacterium. RNAcentral describes it as "partial 16S ribosomal RNA". It matches the Rfam family "Bacterial small subunit ribosomal RNA", at positions 28 to 507 of the family's 1533-position model. The record is from RNAcentral.
GAUGAACGCUGGCGGCGUGCUUAACACAUGCAAGUCGAACGGUGAAGGCGGAGCUUGCUCUGCUGGAUCAGUGGCGAACGGGUGAGUAACACGUGAGCAAUCUGCCCCUGACUCUGGGAUAAGCGCUGGAAACGGCGUCUAAUACUGGAUACGAGCUGCGAAGGCAUCUUCAGCAGCUGGAAAGAAUUUCGGUCAGGGAUGAGCUCGCGGCCUAGCAGCUUGUUGGUGAGGUAAUGGCUCACCAAGGCGUCGACGGGUAGCCGGCCUGAGAGGGUGACCGGCCACACUGGGACUGAGACACGGCCCAGACUCCUACGGGAGGCAGCAGUGGGGAAUAUUGCACAAUGGGCGGAAGCCUGAUGCAGCAACGCCGCGUGAGGGACGACGGCCUUCGGGUUGUAAACCUCUUUUAGCAGGGAAGAAGCGAAAGUGACGGUACCUGCAGAAAAAGCGCCGGCUAACUACGUG